RNAcentral lists this small RNA (131 nucleotides) under Salmonella enterica. RNAcentral's name for it is "RtT sRNA". It matches the Rfam family "RtT RNA". From Rfam's summary of the family: This family represents a bacterial cis-regulatory element known as RtT RNA. The exact function of RtT is unknown although it is thought that it may be involved in changing the cellular response in relation to amino acid starvation. The record is from RNAcentral. Lineage: Bacteria; Pseudomonadati; Pseudomonadota; Gammaproteobacteria; Enterobacterales; Enterobacteriaceae.
UCUCUACCCAUGCGGGGAAGGAUGAGAAGCUUCGACUAAGGUUCGAUUCGAGCGCAGCGAGAACGCGUUGCCGCAGGCAACGACCCGAAGGGCGAAGCGCGCAGCGCUGAGUCAUCCUUCCCCCACCACCA